UUUCCCCCAGAGGACGGGAAAAUUAGGAAAGACCGAAAAAUAAACCCACCAGUCUGCGGAGCGCUCUCAUCUGUGCGUCCUGGGCAGAGCGAGAGACUUAGCGGAAUACGGGUAGGAGAACCGGUCUCGGGUUGCCGCCAGGGGAUCCACUGAGUGAGAGGCAGGUCCGACCUAUGGUGGGGGCACUUGGAGUUGAGGAACCACAUCGUCCACUGGACCGGAUUAAUCUUUUAUCCCUCAGGGCUUCUCAGGCCCUGCAUGGAGGAAUCCGGGAGCUGGACAAAGACCAACUGAAACUAGACUUGCCAAAGACGCUAUUUGUGGUCACAGAACCAUAGAGCUGGACAUGACCUUAGGAAGUCAUCUGAGCAAAGACUGUGAUGGGCACUGUAGUAGCUCUAUUGCUCAGACUUGGUUUUUGUUUGACUUUUGCUGCUCUGAACUUUAAUUCCUAAAGACACUGCAUUUUUAAGGAAAAACAAAUAAAAUAUUAGCAGUUAUCAUAAAUAGGUAUUUUAUUGCAUGCUUUUCGUGCAUCUAUUAAGAUGAUCAUAUGGGUAUUCUUCUUUAAUCUGUUAAUGAGAUCAGUUACAUCAAUAAACUUUCUAAUGGUAAA
RNAcentral lists this non-coding RNA (616 nucleotides) under Pongo abelii (Sumatran orangutan). The record is from RNAcentral. Lineage: Eukaryota; Metazoa; Chordata; Mammalia; Primates; Hominidae.